This is a long non-coding RNA of Mus pahari (shrew mouse), 3162 nucleotides long. RefSeq lists it as uncharacterized. The record is from RefSeq and is a predicted model, not a curated record. Lineage: Eukaryota; Metazoa; Chordata; Mammalia; Rodentia; Muridae. The transcript has 4 exons.
AGAGGGUUCUGCUUGUGUAAGCCCUUCUUUGGGCUUCUCCACUGGCCGUAUGUGUGCUUAUUUAUUAUUUAGGAGAUGGGUUUCAGAGGAUUAUCCCACUUUCUCCAGAGGAGGGUUAGAUUUGUUGGCUGGCCUGGUCAGAUUUGCUUAGUCCAGACACACCACUAAACACUCCUUCCCCCGUGUCCCCUCUUCCUUGUUUCCAGUUGUCCCUUCAGGGUAUCUCAGAGUGGUGGAACUGGCCAUGCCAACCCAACUUUCAAGUUGCAGACACCCCAGGGCAGGCGAAAGGUGACUAACACCCCUGAAACCUUCCGGAAGCCGUCCCACCCUCCUCCCCGGCCCCCUCCAGACUACCUGCGCGUUGAAUCGCCACCUGCACCAUUGCCGGCACAUCUGAACAGGGCUGCUGGGGGCACCCCAGAAGCUGGGGCUCGAAUAGAAAGAAAGGAGUCAGCCAGGAGGCCUCCCCCAAGCCGGCCCAUGCCCCCUGCACCUAAUUGCCUACUGUCCCAGGAUUUCUCCAGGCCUCGACCACCUCAGAAGGCACUCCCAGCCAAUCCAGUGCCAGGCCAAAAGACCGGUCCCAGGUCAGGAGGCGCCUCCCUGCCUCAGCCCCCUACUUCCGGUCCUCAGCCCCCCAGGCCUCCAGCAGUGCCUGUUCCAAAGCUACCUGGGUACCGAUCACAGAGGGUUGGAGGGAUAACUAGCUCCAAGAUUUAGAAGUGUCCAGAAGUUUCUUGUUUCAACUGAAGACUCCGGAUGCCAUGGAACGUCCAGGAGAAAGAAGCCUGCUCACCCACCCUGAAGCUUCUUGGCAGCCUUCUGGAACAUCCCUCAUCCCCAGAAUCUCCCCCCCUUACCCUAGUGCCUCCUGCUUCCUCUGAGGCCCAGGGGGACUCAUAGCCGAUGGCUCCUAAGUGUUUGUCCUGUGCAAUAUACAGCCCGGGUAGGGAAGGGAAGCGCAGGGAGGGGGGGGGGGGAAGAGUCUCCCUCGGCCCACUAGCCAAGAGCUGCCAGCGAUGCUCAGGGAAGGCUUGAGCUGGGGUCCUCCUAUGCGGAGCUUGGAGAAGGUACCGAUCCUGGUCCUGUGCUGGCAGGAACACACGGGAGCAUCACUGAUGGGCCUCCCUCUGGGAUCCCAGGCUGCCCUUACCAUCUCUUAGCUUUUAAUGACUGAGGAAGCUACUGCUGCAUCCCUGCCCCAAGGGGCUUGGUCAAGAUGCCUGUUCCUGGCUAUGUGGCUGCAUGUGAUAAGCCAUGCUCCCCUCCCCUGCCUUUCUUCACAUUCCCACUCCCAUAUUUACACGGGUCACUCUGACUCAGACAGGUACUAUUUGUGAGUAGUGUAGACAGCAGGGGGGGGGUCAACCUGUGUCCCCUCUGAGCCGUGAUGCCAAAGGUCACUAAGGACAUUUAGAAUCUCCAUCCAUCCAUCUAUCCAUCCAUCCAUCCAUCCCCAGUGUUCCAUGUGUCACCUUCUCCUUUUCCAGCAUCCCUAUCCUAUGGUGCUUUGGUGGUGAACCACAGCAGCCCUGACUUGCUGAUGACUAUAUGCUAGUGACCUCCAAAUCAGGAUCCUGCCUUAUGGGGUCACCACUGGACUUUCUGCACUGGAUCUCAAGAGCAUUGAGCCGAGAGGGCGUGUGUGUGUGUGUGUGUGUGUGUGUGUGUGUGUGUGUGUGUGCGCGCGUGCGUGUGUAAGAGACAGAGACAAUGAGAGAGACAGACAGGCAGACAGCUCCGCAUGUCCUUGUGUUUUACCGCCUCAGGCAGAAUAAGGGACCUCCUCCUUAUUUCUGACCUAUAUCUAAGUAAGGCUCUCCAGGACAGCCACAGUUAUACUGAGGGGGACUGACAUGUUUGGAAUCCUGGCUAUUGUAUACACAGGGCCACCAGCCCUCCUUCGUGGUCAGCUCCGAGGUGGGACUGUUGACUCUGAACAGAUUGCUGUCAACAGCCGUGGUGAACCAGAUCUGGGCAGGGUUCCCCAAACUCUCUUCAACCAGGGUUUUAUCAGGCACCUCAUCGGUUCACUCCUGGUGACCGCCCCUAGGUGAUCGUCAUGGGAAAUGCUGAGAAGGUGGGAACGGGACGGGGGUGGCCCUUCUCUUGCUUGGUGCUCUGCUACUUAGGACAGUUCUUACACAUGUGUUGGGCCUGGCCUCUGAGAGGCCAUCUUCCAUCCCCAGAAAGGUGCUAAUGGCACUGCAGAGGGCUCGCUAGGGCCCUUCCCGCCACCACAGCAAGCAGUUGUUAGCUUUCGGAACCCUCCAGAGGAAGAGGCAAGCUUUUGACAUUUAUGACAUAGGUGGCCUGGGGGAGAAAGAUCUCAGGAAAGCGCCUUCCUCUUUUUCACAGUGACCGUGUUCUUCACUCUCUGAGGCCUCGGUCCAUGUCCUACAUCAGUUUCUCGUUUGUGUGCUUUACCAAAUGCCCGGUGAUUACAGGUCACCCCAAUUCUCACCACAAAGUUAGAAAUCCUCCACUUUCUGUCCCUUGAACCAUAUCAGAAGAAGACCCAUUUCCUUGCUCUUUGGUAAUCACUUCCGUUUUUUUUCUUUUUCAUUGCUUCGACAUCACCUCCAUCCCAUGACAUUAUACUGUGAAGUGUAAGAGGACGGGAUUUUUUUUAAAACUUGGUAGAAAUGUCGGCAGCUGCUCUACGUACACCUUCUUCACUCGAGGCUUUGUUUCCAGAGGCCAGCGAGGCUGUCACAGGCAGGAAUCCCUUCCCAUCUGCUUUUGUGAAGGGUCCCAUAGAGGUGUAUCUAGACUUCAAGGACAGGGUUUGUCCCAAAGGAUUGUCACUUAGGAUAUGUAAGAAUAUUACCACAUGAGGAGGAGGGGGCAGUUGCAACAGAACACUUUGGUCUUCCUACACCAAGUCGAUGAGGGCAUCCAAGACUGAAAGCCCUUUUCUUAUGCAUAGAAAGUGAGCAAGAACAGAAGUAACUGUUUAUGGCAUCUCUGUUCCCGGCCACUGAAGCGAGAUGUCUUUGGAAUAGGUCAAAGCCAAGGCUCUGGUGGGCUGAGGGAAGGUUUGUAGCUGGGUUUCGUGGUGUGCAUCUUUAGUCCCAACAGAGACAGAUGAAUUUGGGGUUUGAAGCUAGCCUGGUCUAAAAAGGAAGUCCCAAGACUGACAGGGCCACACAGAGAAGA